CCCNCCGCGCNCGGCGGGCGGGGCGGGGGCACGGGGGGCCCUACGGGGCGCAGCAGGCGCGCAAACUUUACAAUGCGAGCAAUCGUGAUAAGGAAACCCUGAGUGCCUGUCGAUGCAGGCUGUUCAUAUAUCUAAAUCAUAUGGAGAAAAGCGGGCANACCGG
This 163-nucleotide ribosomal RNA is filed under the name uncultured Banisveld landfill archaeon BVupparchb1. Its description in RNAcentral is "partial 16S ribosomal RNA". It matches the Rfam family "Archaeal small subunit ribosomal RNA", at positions 266 to 454 of the family's 1478-position model. The record is from RNAcentral.